RNAcentral lists this ribosomal RNA (645 nucleotides) under uncultured bacterium. Its description in RNAcentral is "bacterial SSU rRNA". It matches the Rfam family "Bacterial small subunit ribosomal RNA", at positions 229 to 888 of the family's 1533-position model. The record is from RNAcentral.
AUUCGCGGCCUAUCAGCUUGUUGGUGAGGUAACGGCUCACCAAGGCAACGACGGGUAGCUGGUCUGAGAGGACGAUCAGCCACACUGGGACUGAGACACGGCCCAGACUCCUACGGGAGGCAGCAGUGGGGAAUCUUGCACAAUGGGCGAAAGCCUGAUGCAGCGACGCCGCGUGCGGGAUGAAGGCCUUAGGGUUGUAAACCGCUUUCAGCAGGGAAGAAACUGACGGUACCUGCAGAAGAAGGUGCGGCCAACUACGUGCCAGCAGCCGCGGUAACACGUAGGCACCAAGCGUUGUCCGGAUUUAUUGGGCGUAAAGAGCUCGUAGGCGGUUCGGUAAGUCGGGUGUGAAAACUCUGGGCUCAACCCAGAGAUUGCACCCGAUACUGCUGUGACUAGAGUGCGGUAGGGGAGCGGGGAAUUCCUGGUGUAGCGGUGAAAUGCGCAGAUAUCAGGAGGAACACCAGUGGCGAAGGCGCCGCUCUGGGCCGUAACUGACGCUGAGGAGCGAAAGCAUGGGUAGCAAACAGGAUUAGAUACCCUGGUAGUCCAUGCCGUAAACGUUGGGCACUGGGUGUGGGUCUCAACCAACGAGAUCCGCGCCGUCGCUAACGCAUUAAGUGCCCCGCCUGGGGAGUACGGAAU